RNAcentral lists this non-coding RNA (24 nucleotides) under Arabidopsis thaliana (thale cress). Lineage: Eukaryota; Viridiplantae; Streptophyta; Magnoliopsida; Brassicales; Brassicaceae. The record is from RNAcentral.
CCAAUAUGACUAUAUGCAAAUGCA